Molecule: ribosomal RNA, 253 nt
Filed under: uncultured bacterium
Lineage: Bacteria
Description: partial 16S ribosomal RNA
Rfam family: Bacterial small subunit ribosomal RNA
Source: RNAcentral
UACAGAGGGUGCGAGCGUUGUUCGGAAUUAUUGGGCGUAAAGGGCGCGUAGGCGGUGCGGCAAGUCACCUGUGAAACCUCUGGGCUUAACCCAGAGCCUGCAGGCGAAACUGCCGUGCUGGAGUGUGGGAGAGGUGCGUGGAAUUCCCGGUGUAGCGGUGAAAUGCGUAGAUAUCAGGAGGAACACCUGUGGCGAAAGCGGCUCACUGGACCACAACUGACGCUGAGGCGCGAAAGCUAGGGGAGCAAACAGG